This 2085-nucleotide long non-coding RNA is filed under the name Varroa destructor (honeybee mite). RNAcentral's name for it is "uncharacterized LOC111244936, transcript variant X1". The record is from RNAcentral. Lineage: Eukaryota; Metazoa; Arthropoda; Arachnida; Mesostigmata; Varroidae.
UGUUUGUUUCCAACGUUGUACGGUUGCCGCGUCACGUAAGCAUUGCCAAUUUAAACAUAGAAUACCGGCGUUACUGACUUCUUCGACAGAGACGAUUGUUGGUGCUGUUUUUGCUAGAACCGUUUGUUGGCCUUUUCAUAAUGCCAGUGAAACAGCCGGCUGCAAAGACAGAUUCUUCCUACAGUGACAGAGUUUGCACAGGAGGUUCUCGCCGAAAGCGGUUGAGUCAUCGGGUUGAAACUUGUUCUCUCUUGCGGCAACCUGACAAAUCUGUUGAAUGCGGAGCACGGAGCUACUUCAAACAGCAGACUCGUCACUAAACGACAACUCGCUAAAAAGCCGUGAUGCAGCCUUCAAGUGGAGGCCGUAAAGCAGAGUGUACGGAUGAUAAAGGACUAAAUUUAGCUAUGGCAACAGACAAGGCAAGUCGGGACAUCUGUCGCGAAAUUUGCUAGUACUUGUACAUACCAUCACAUUCUCCUGCCCUCUAUUCACCCCCCGUGAUGGAAGAACAACAUGUGCAACGCUAGCAGGCCCGCGGAGCAAAUUCAGUCCUCAAUUUUCCACUUGUUGUAAAAUCUUCUUACUGGAUACUAUUUACCAUCCAACUUAAUUUAUGUAAUGUAUGACACUAUAUAAUCUCUUAUGUCAACGAAUUUCGAAAGUUACUCGGGACUAUAAAUAUACACAAAUAGUUUGCGCCUACAAGUUAUUGUGUCUACGAUUUUGGAGCUCAAUAGGUCAAGUCGUAUCAUACAUACGACGAGCGACAGGUGGCACUCCGUGGCCAUUAUGUAGGGUCUACACGCAUCGAUUCUUCCAAGCAUCUUGUUGGAAACGAAUACCGAGGAAUAACAGGUUCCUCAAGCUUACAGAAAACAACAUAGGAAAAAAACACCAACCUUUAGCCAGCAACGCUCCAUUUUCUAACUGUUCCACUAACGCUUGGCGUCUUCCUUUAUAUCUCUGCUUUAGAAGAUUAUACGAUCACCGUACAUUAUACAGGAUAGACAUUUCGUGCCGACCAUCUAACCUGGUUACUUCACGCUACCUGUAAGCCCUUUUUCACGAAAUAUUUCAAUGCAAUUUUUAUCAACGAUGAACGGAGGCAGAUCAUAAAACAGCACUGGAAGAAGCAGACGGAGUAGGACAAAGGUGGAUUCAAGGUUUUCAAGCCAAAAUGUAGAAGAGGUCUCAGACCACCGCAUCUAUAUGCGACGCCCCCGGAAAGUGGCAAAUCGACAACGGCUAUUCACGAGGAAAAACUUAGGCACUUAAUGGGUCAGCAUUUACGACAUUGCCUUGAGCGAAAACAGGCAAGAUAAUAAAGUACUCGGCAAGGUGACAUGAUUGAAUUAAGUUCAAUUCGAAUUCAUCACAAACACUAGGGAUCGGCACAGUCGCGUCGAUUCUAUAACAGAAAAUCUUCACGUACUAUUAGGACAGCAGCCUGUAGCUAGUGUUUAAAUGGCCAUUUAGCAUAGACGAGUGAUUGACUUUUCCCGUUUUCAUUCGCCCCUCUCUAAGGACAUGUACCUGCGUUUGAUAUAGGACAUUGUUCUACCGCGAACGAAAAGCAGACAAUCGUUUUGUUUCUUUAUUGUACAAUUGGACAGACAUUUGGACGUGGGUUUCUGGACAAAAAAAAUUAAACAGAUAAAUAAGCUAACAAAGCCUAGUAGGUUAGGCGCACGAUCAUCACGUUUGACGCCUAUAGGCUGCCCUUUUUAACGCGUCGUAGAAGAUAAGCUGUUCGCGCUAGAACAAUCAGUUGUGUAUUAUCGUUAAAGGCGCAGUCGUUAAAGCAAACGCCCAUAAACUAGGCCAAGAAAAAGUAAUGCAUACUUUAUCUCAACAAAGAUGUCAUAAAUGUUGCGUUUAUAACCUUGAUGAAGCGUUACAAACUAAGCGAACUUUAAAGAAAGAUAGUUCAUUACAUACGACGAGCGAAGCAGAAAAUUGCUAACGAUAUUGAAUUUUACGCGAACCUUUGGCAAGCAUACAUCAGGAACAUAUAAAUAAUGGUGGUCAUCAAAUUGACGACUUACGAGGUAAAACUCCUAGUGAUCCUAGUAAUAAAACCGU